Molecule: ribosomal RNA, 514 nt
Filed under: uncultured bacterium
Lineage: Bacteria
Description: partial 16S ribosomal RNA
Rfam family: Bacterial small subunit ribosomal RNA
Source: RNAcentral
UAGGGAAUCUUCCACAAUGGACGCAAGUCUGAUGGAGCAACGCCGCGUGAGUGAAGAAGGUUUUCGGACCGUAAAGCUCUGUUGUUGGUGAAGAAGGAUAGAGGUAGUAACUGGCCUUUAUUUGACGGUAAUCAACCAGAAAGUCACGGCUAACUACGUGCCAGCAGCCGCGGUAAUACGUAGGUGGCAAGCGUUGUCCGGAUUUAUUGGGCGUAAAGCGAGCGCAGGCGGAAGAAUAAGUCUGAUGUGAAAGCCCUCGGCUUAACCGAGGAAUUGCAUCGGAAACUGUUUUUCUUGAGUGCAGAAGAGGAGAGUAGAACUCCAUGUGUAGCGGUGGAAUGCGUAGAUAUAUGGAAGAAUACCAGUGGCGAAGGCGGCUCUCUGGUCUGCAACUGACGCUGAGGCUCGAAAGCAUGGGUAGCGAACAGGAUUAGAUACCCUGGUAGUCCAUGCCGUAAACGAUGAGUGCUAAGUGUUGGGAGGCUUCCGCCUCUCAGUGCUGCAGCUAACGCAU